UUGCUAUAUAAAUGUCGAUUCAUAUAAGAUACGACGAUUUGUAAAGUGAGAAACACGACAAAAUGAGGUUCUUUGGAAUUAUAAUGCUUUUGUGCUUCCUUGUCAUGGCCAGUUAUGGAGCAACACCAACAACAACAACAAAAACAUCAAAACCAGCUGGCCAGGUUAAAUGUCCUCCCGGCAAGGUAAUUGAC
This is a long non-coding RNA of Tribolium madens (black flour beetle), 194 nucleotides long. RefSeq lists it as uncharacterized. The transcript has 2 exons. The record is from RefSeq and is a predicted model, not a curated record. Lineage: Eukaryota; Metazoa; Arthropoda; Insecta; Coleoptera; Tenebrionidae.